This is a long non-coding RNA of Neocloeon triangulifer, 701 nucleotides long. RefSeq lists it as uncharacterized. The transcript has 3 exons. Lineage: Eukaryota; Metazoa; Arthropoda; Insecta; Ephemeroptera; Baetidae. The record is from RefSeq and is a predicted model, not a curated record.
CUGGCAUGAGUUAAACAAGCCAUAGAAAUGUGAGUAUGAUUCUGAAGAGACUGCUGCAUUUGAUGCAAUGGAGUGGAAGAAUAGAGCGUGGAUAAAAAUAGGAUUUGGCGGGGCGCCCUUUGGAUUUGAAAACUACUUAUUGCAAAAGAGUGGCAAUAUUUUCCAAAAAAGUGUGUCCCAGAACAAUAUUCCUGUCCCCCAAGUCUAGAAGAGUCCAUCAACGAUCAAGGGAAAUGGGUCACGAGUGGGCGACCGACAAAGGGCCGGGUGUCGACCUGGUUUUUACCUUUUCUUCGUCGCUCUUGAAAACCUGCGAGUUGAGAUUAGUCACAAUGAGCGAGUUAGGCAGCUCGUCGUCGUGGAUGACGUUGUCGACGCCUAGGACGUCUUCCUGGUCGUGCUGCUCAAAGUUGGGGUGCGCGUUUGGCAGGCCGUCGGCUGCGUUGAUGAUGAUGUCGGCUUCCAUGGCCGAUGCCGACUCUUCGCCCGCCAUCUGUGAGUUGCCGACAAGUCGCCUACAACACCAUCGGCCCCGAUUGUCAACGCCGACCCCGCACGCAACGUCUUGCAGCGAAGAGGAGACCCUUUUGUUUAUUGACAGCCACGCCCCUUUGUGCCCGUGACGUCAUCCCUAUUCAUGACGUCAACGCACCAUCCAAUCCUGAUCCAAUCGUUCCUUGCGCCUUUAAUUUUUAAGUCAU